UACAGAGGGGGCAAGCGUUGUUCGGAAUUACUGGGCGUAAAGAGCGCGCAGGCGGUCGUUCAAGUCGCGUGUGAAAGCCCCCGGCUCAACUGGGGAGGGUCACGCGAUACUGAUCGACUCGAAGGCAGGAGAGGGUAGUGGAAUUCCCGGUGUAGUGGUGAAAUGCGUAGAUAUCGGGAGGAACACCAGUGGCGAAGGCGGCUUCCUGGACACCAACUGACGCUGAGACGCGAAAGCGUGGGGAGCAAACAGG
RNAcentral lists this ribosomal RNA (253 nucleotides) under uncultured bacterium. Its description in RNAcentral is "partial 16S ribosomal RNA". It matches the Rfam family "Bacterial small subunit ribosomal RNA", at positions 524 to 776 of the family's 1533-position model. The record is from RNAcentral.